RNAcentral lists this ribosomal RNA (511 nucleotides) under uncultured bacterium. Its description in RNAcentral is "bacterial SSU rRNA". It matches the Rfam family "Bacterial small subunit ribosomal RNA", at positions 29 to 518 of the family's 1533-position model. The record is from RNAcentral.
ACGAACGCUGGCGGCGUGCCUAACACAUGCAAGUCGAACGGGGAUUUGUUUCGGCAGAAUCCUAGUGGCGAACGGGUGAGUAACGCGUAGGCAACCUGCCCUCCGGCCGGGGACAACACUCCGAAAGGGGUGCUAAUACCGGAUACGAAGUCUGUGCCGCAUGGUACGGAUUUGAAAGAUGGCCUCUAUUUAUAAGCUAUCGCCGGGGGAUGGGCCUGCGUCCGAUUAGCUGGUUGGUGGGGUAACGGCCUACCAAGGCGACGAUCGGUAGCCGGUCUGAGAGGAUGAACGGCCACAUUGGGACUGAGACACGGCCCAGACUCCUACGGGAGGCAGCAGUGGGGAAUCUUCCGCAAUGGGCGCAAGCCUGACGGAGCAACGCCGCGUGAGUGAGGAAGUUCUUCGGAACGUAAAGCUCUGUUGUUCCUGACGAACCUCCCCUUUAUCAACAACGGAGGGGACUGACGGUAGGGAACGAGGAAGCCACGGCUAACUACGUGCCAGCCGCCGC